ACAUGAAAUUUAUACGCCUUUACACAUUGCGUUUCGAGACCUGCCUUUAUUCUGAAGGAGAUGUGCACCAAUACACAGAAGUGAAGUAUUCUGUGAGUGCCGGGAAAUUGUUGGUUAUGGUUUGACGGUAAAUUCCGAAUACCUGUUCCAUGAAGAAGCCUGGAAUUAAUUCCUUAACAGUCUGUAUUUGGACAAAUUGUGAAAUUAUCAGGAAAAAAAUAAUGGAAUCAUGUAAGGGCUUUUGUGGUGUCGAGAUCUCAAACAGCACAAUCUGAGGUUGGAAAGAGGCAAUACACGGACAGAACUAUAAAGUUGCUAGCAUGUCACAUACUUAAAUGUUUUGUUGUCACACGGCUGCUUAGAAUGUUGUUACAAGCAAAACAAAAAACAAAAAAAAACGGAAAUUUUUUUGCACAGUGGUCCUCAAAUUUGUAAACGAGUGACAUGUAUGGAAGCAAAUCAGACUCAUCAGAUUCUGAAUUUUAAAAGCUGCUGAAUUUCUUACUUUGAAUUUUUUUUGCAUCAAAAUUACGUAUGUGAAUUUUUUUAUGCCUGAAUUUAGCUCAUCAAAAUUCUAAAAACCAGUUAAAAAUUCAAUGUCUUCAAAAUUCACCAUCAAAAAAUUCAAUGUUCAAAAUUCGCCAUCAAAAAAUUCAAUGUUCAAAAUUCGCUGUCAAAAAAUUCGCUAUUCACAUCCGGGGGACUCAGGCGUAAACAAUCGAUCCUGGCCAAAAUCGAACCAACGCCCAGCCAAUCACGUGGCGCUCCUCCGGUCAUGUGACGCAGACGGUUCACCUCACAAGACCGGGGUCAACCACGGCUACAUGCAUGAACGACGGCGCUUCACAACACCGUCUGAACUGACCAGUCUGGUGAAAUUCUGGACUGGAUGGGAGACUCUACCAAGAACUCUCUCCACAGAAGUAGUGAAUGGCAGAUACCUGACAGCCUCCACCUGCUAUGAGACCUUACACAUCCCAGGACAUUACAAGGACUACACAUCAUUUAAGACUGAUAUCCUGGCCUGUAUUUGCACCUUGCCAGUCAAGAUAUGUUAGGUGUUGUUCUCUAGUUAGUUUUACUUGACUGACAAAACUAAGUGCACUUUUGGAUUCCCUCCCCUACCUGUUCUCCCAACUCACCUGACAGGUUAUCUGGCUCAAGUAUGCGUGUUUCUGCCAUACAUUUAAAGUAUCUGAAGUUAAGAAUAUUUCUGGUGAACAAUACAUGCAAUCACGGCAUUAAAGCAGGAGUUAAAAAUGAA
Amphiprion ocellaris (clown anemonefish) is the source of this 1264-nucleotide long non-coding RNA. RefSeq lists it as uncharacterized. The transcript has 2 exons. The record is from RefSeq and is a predicted model, not a curated record. NCBI's taxonomy places the organism in Eukaryota, Metazoa, Chordata, Actinopteri, Pomacentridae.